RNAcentral lists this ribosomal RNA (497 nucleotides) under uncultured bacterium. RNAcentral describes it as "partial 16S ribosomal RNA". It matches the Rfam family "Bacterial small subunit ribosomal RNA", at positions 28 to 507 of the family's 1533-position model. The record is from RNAcentral.
GAUGAACGCUGGCGGCGUGCCUAAUACAUGCAAGUCGAGCGAACAGACGAGGAGCUUGCUCCUCUGACGUUAGCGGCGGACGUGUGAGUAACACGUGGAUAACCUACCUAUAAUACUGGGAUAACUUCGGGAAACCGGAGCUAAUACCGGAUAAUAUAUUGAACCGCAUGGUUCAAUAGUGAAAGACGGUUUUGCUGUCACUUAUAGAUGGAUCCGCGCCGCAUUAGCUAGUUGGUAAGUUAACGGCUUACCAAGGCGACGAUGCGUAGCCGACCUGCGAGGGUGAUAGGCCACACGGGAGCUGGGCCACGGUCAUGACUCCUACGAGAGGCAGCAGUAGGGAAUCUUACGCAAUGGGCGAGAGUAUGACGGAGCAACGGCAAGUGAGAGAUGACGGUGUUCGGAUCGUAAAGAUGUGUUAUUAGGGAAGAACAAAUGUGUAAGUAACUAUGGACGUAUUGACGGUACCUAAUAAGAAAGCACCGGCUAACUACGUG